AGGAAGGUGGGGAUGACGUCAAGUCCUCAUGGCCUUUAUGACCAGGGCUACACACGUACUACAAUGGCCGGUACAAAGGGCAGCGACACAGCGAUGUGAAGCGAAUCCCGAAAAGCCGGUCUCAGUCCGGAUUGGAGUCUGUAACUCGACUCCAUGAAGUUGGAAUCGCUAGUAAUCGCGGAUCAGCACGCCGCGGUGAAUACGUUCCCGGGCCUU
This 216-nucleotide ribosomal RNA is filed under the name uncultured Desulfocapsa sp. RNAcentral's name for it is "partial 16S ribosomal RNA". It matches the Rfam family "Bacterial small subunit ribosomal RNA", at positions 1167 to 1382 of the family's 1533-position model. Lineage: Bacteria; Pseudomonadati; Thermodesulfobacteriota; Desulfobulbia; Desulfobulbales; Desulfocapsaceae. The record is from RNAcentral.